This 269-nucleotide long non-coding RNA is filed under the name Panax ginseng (ginseng). RNAcentral's name for it is "long non-coding RNA (PGIN_LNC007092)". Lineage: Eukaryota; Viridiplantae; Streptophyta; Magnoliopsida; Apiales; Araliaceae. The record is from RNAcentral.
ACCUGGUUCCGUCUUUAUUAUUCUAUUGGAAUAACCUGUAUACGCGGACUCCCCUAUACUUGGUGAAAUCCUUAUGUUAUUCCAUUCUUUAUUAUUCUAUUGCAAUAUCAUGUCUGUGCGUUUUACGUCGGACCUGGUUCCGUAUUUAUUAUUCUGUUGGAAUAACCUGCAUGUGCUAUCUAUCACAUGCCUGGUGAUUUCUUUUGUUAUUCCAUUCCUUAUUAUACUCAGUUGGUUAAAGUUUUGACUUCUAUACUCCAUGAAAUUAG